Molecule: non-coding RNA, 190 nt
Filed under: bovine gut metagenome
Source: RNAcentral
GGUGUCUGGGGUUACGGCCCUGGGUGAAAAGGGAACCGGGUGGGAAUCCCGGACAGACGGUGCUGCUGUGUGCCCGUUAUGGAAUUACCCGCACUGGACCACUUUGCGAUGCCCCGAUGGCAAGGGGGCCGCAUGGGAAGGGAUAGUGCAAAAAAGGGUAGGGGCGAGUCAGAAGACCUGCCAAAUCAAG